GGGUUCUCCCUAUAAAUAGGCAUCCCUUGUAGUUCUUUUCAUUCAUUGAAGUUAAUAAAAAAAUCUUGCUUUAUUUUUCUGCUCUCUUCGUGAGUUGUGGAAGAAUUCAAGAGUGGGUGCGAAGCCCUCCCUUUUCGAAGGGCUAACUACCGUGGUGCGAAGCCACAUCGAUCCCAAUUCACCCCCAUCUUCCAUCAUCUUUUUUUCCAUCUUCUCCCACCAUCCGUACUUCGAAUUUGUCCUUUUGUUGCAUCAGAUUUUUUCAUUACAGCAGGUUUUCAGAUUUCGGCUCGCAGGCGAGCUGAAACUUCGGCGGAGCACCACGCACAAACCGUACAUCGGAUCGAGCUGAGAUUUGGGAGUUUUGGAGUCCAUCCCUGGCCGACCAGGGCCAAGGUGACCUUUUUCUGAAUAGUGGGCCCCACACACGUGCGGCCGGGAUCACACGCACGUCCGUCUGGGCUAUUGUUGCUGUCCACACACGGGAUCAUCUUUUGGCUCAGGUUUUUAUCCUCUUUUAUCCUCUUAUAGCCAUUUUUCAUGAA
This is a long non-coding RNA of Magnolia sinica, 545 nucleotides long. RefSeq lists it as uncharacterized. The record is from RefSeq and is a predicted model, not a curated record. Lineage: Eukaryota; Viridiplantae; Streptophyta; Magnoliopsida; Magnoliales; Magnoliaceae. The transcript is spliced from 2 exons.